RNAcentral lists this ribosomal RNA (491 nucleotides) under uncultured bacterium. RNAcentral describes it as "partial 16S ribosomal RNA". It matches the Rfam family "Bacterial small subunit ribosomal RNA", at positions 29 to 507 of the family's 1533-position model. The record is from RNAcentral.
AGUGAACGCUGGCGGUAGGCCUAACACAUGCAAGUCGAACGGCAGCACAGUAAGAGCUUGCUCUUACGGGUGGCGAGUGGCGGACGGGUGAGGAAUACAUCGGAAUCUACUUUUUCGUGGGGGAUAACGUAGGGAAACUUACGCUAAUACCGCAUACGACCUACGGGUGAAAGCAGGGGAUCUUCGGAUCUUGCGCGAUUGAAUGAGCCGAUGUCGGAUUAGCUAGUUGGCGGGGUAAAGGCCCACCAAGGCGACGAUCCGUAGCUGGUCUGAGAGGAUGAUCAGCCACACUGGAACUGAGACACGGUCCAGACUCCUACGGGAGGCAGCAGUGGGGAAUAUUGGACAAUGGGCGCAAGCCUGAUCCAGCCAUACCGCGUGGGUGAAGAAGGCCUCGGGUUGUAAAGCCCUUUUGUUGGGAAAGAAAAGCAGCAGGUUAAUACCCCGCUGUUCUGACGGUACCCAAAGAAUAAGCACCGGCUAACUUCGUG